UACGGAGGAUCCGAGCGUUAUCCGGAUUUAUUGGGUUUAAAGGGUGCGCAGGCGGGAGAUUAAGUCGGCGGUGAAAUUUUGCAGCUCAACUGUAAAAGUGCCUUCGAUACUGGUUUCCUUGAGUGUGGAUGAAGUAGGCGGAAUUUGUGGUGUAGCGGUGAAAUGCUUAGAUAUCACGAGGAACUCCGAUUGCGCGGGCAGCUUACUAAACCACUACUGACGCUCAGGCACGAAGGCGUGGGGAUCAAACAGGAUUAGAUACCCUGGUAGU
RNAcentral lists this ribosomal RNA (271 nucleotides) under uncultured prokaryote. RNAcentral's name for it is "partial 16S ribosomal RNA". It matches the Rfam family "Bacterial small subunit ribosomal RNA", at positions 524 to 794 of the family's 1533-position model. The record is from RNAcentral.